AACGAACGCUGGCGGCAUGCCUAACACAUGCAAGUCGAACGAGACCUUCGGGUCUAGUGGCGCACGGGUGCGUAACGCGUGGGAACCUGCCCUUAGGUUCGGAAUAACUCCCCGAAUGGGUGCUAUUACCGGAUAAUGUCUUCGGACCACAGAUUUAUCUCCUUUGGAUGGUCCGGCGUUGGAUUAGCUAGUUGGUAUGGUAAAAGCCUACCAAGGCGACGAUCCAUAGCUGGUCUGAGAGGAUGAUCCGCCACACUGGGACUGAGACACGGCCCAGACUCCUACGGGAGGCAGCAGUGGGUAAUAUUGGACAGCGGGCGAAAGGCUGAUCCAGCACGGCCGGGUGAGUGAUGAAGUCCUUAGGGUUGUAAAGCUCUUUUACCCAUGAUCAUAAUGACAGUACCGGGAGAAUAAGCCCCGGCUAACUCCGUG
RNAcentral lists this ribosomal RNA (432 nucleotides) under uncultured bacterium. RNAcentral describes it as "partial 16S ribosomal RNA". It matches the Rfam family "Bacterial small subunit ribosomal RNA", at positions 29 to 507 of the family's 1533-position model. The record is from RNAcentral.